RNAcentral lists this ribosomal RNA (271 nucleotides) under uncultured Eubacteriales bacterium. RNAcentral describes it as "uncultured Clostridiales bacterium partial 16S ribosomal RNA". It matches the Rfam family "Bacterial small subunit ribosomal RNA", at positions 74 to 339 of the family's 1533-position model. The record is from RNAcentral. Lineage: Bacteria; Bacillati; Bacillota; Clostridia; Eubacteriales.
UUUUCGGAUGGAAGAGAGUUCAGCUUAGUGGCGAACGGGUGAGUAACACGUGAGCAACCUGCCUUUCAGUGGGGGACAACAGUUGGAAACGACUGCUAAUACCGCAUGAUACAUUUGGGUGGCAUCAUCUGAAUGUCAAAGAUUUAUCGCUGAAAGAUGGCCUCGCGUCUGAUUAGCUAGUUGGUGGGGUAACGGCCCACCAAGGCGACGAUCAGUAGCCGGCCUGAGAGGGUGAACGGCCACAUUGGGACUGAGACACGGCCCAAACUCC